This 285-nucleotide long non-coding RNA is filed under the name Mytilus galloprovincialis (Mediterranean mussel). The record is from RNAcentral. Lineage: Eukaryota; Metazoa; Mollusca; Bivalvia; Mytilida; Mytilidae.
AAAAGGUUUAACUGAAAUGUUUCGAAUCUGUAAAAAUUUACUAAUUUAACAAUUUUAAGAGUUAUUUAUAAUGUCAUUCAACAUCAUGCUUCGCUGGGUUUCCUUGUAACGUUAUCUAUAAUUUGUUUUAUGUUUAGUUCCAAACUGUAGUGCACAUGCAUCAACGCAAGUCCGUUAAACGCUAUUGCCCCAUAGUUGUUAUCAUGUAGGUUUUUAGAAGUGAUAACUCACUGUUGGAUCGGUCACUUUCGCAACUCAUCACCCCCAUGGUAGCUAUGAUUUUUA